AUUGAACGCUGGCGGCAUGCCUUACACAUGCAAGUCGAACGGCAGCACGGGUGCUUGCACCUGGUGGCGAGUGGCGAACGGGUGAGUAAUACAUCGGAACAUGUCCUGUAGUGGGGGAUAGCCCGGCGAAAGCCGGAUUAAUACCGCAUACGAUCUACGGAUGAAAGCGGGGGACCUUCGGGCCUCGCGCUAUAGGGUUGGCCGAUGGCGGAUUAGCUAGUGGGUGGGGUAAAGGACUACCAAGGCGACGAUCAGUAGCUGGUCUGAGAGGACGACCAGCCACACUGGGACUGAGACACGGCCCAGACUCCUACGGGAGGCAGCAGUGGGGAAUUUUGGACAAUGGGCGAAAGCCUGAUCCAGCAAUGCCGCGUGUGUGAAGAAGGCCUUCGGGUUGUAAAGCACUUUUGUCCGGAAAGAAAUCCUUUGCCCUAAUACGGUCGGGGGAUGACGGUACCGGAAGAAUAAGCACCGGCUAACUACGUG
Molecule: ribosomal RNA, 486 nt
Filed under: uncultured bacterium
Lineage: Bacteria
Description: partial 16S ribosomal RNA
Rfam family: Bacterial small subunit ribosomal RNA
Source: RNAcentral